CUUUUACUUGGCCGGGGCUGCGGCGACGCUGGGUUCGAACAGCGGCGGGUUCAUACUUGUCAGCAGAUUAGGAGGAGACUCUGGGUUCGUACGCCGACUGAGGCUUCUCCUUGAUGGGCUCCGGGCCCCGAAGUCUGGGGGCAGUACGGGGCCGGGGACAUGCAGGAAAGGGCCCUGGACCACUACAAAGCCGCAAAGAAAAAUUAGACUUGUUUCAUUUUAUAACAACAACAACUGCUACUACUGCUACUAGUUAGAUACCGUUUGCUCAUUUAUAACAAUCUCAGUUGGUAGGAUGAAGCUUAAACACUUGGCAUUCAUCGUCUUUUUCAGUCCUCUCGCCAGUCUUACAGACUUGGACCUUCAGUUGUGAUGCUUAAUCAGAAUUUUUUUUGAGAUAGGGUCUCUCUUGGUUGCCCAGACUGGAGUGCAAGUGGCACGUUCAUAGCUCACUGCAGCUUUAAACUCCUGAACUCAAACGAUCCUCCCGCCUCUGCCUCCUGAGUAGCUGAGAACACAGGUGCAAGACACCACGCCCAGCUAAUUAUUUUUUGUAGAGACGGGGUUUUGUCAUGUUGCCCGGGCUGGUCUCGAACUCCUGGGUUCAAGCGAUCUUCCUGCCUCGCCCUCCCAAAGUGCUUUACAUGACUGAGCCUCCGCGCCCAGCCAGACUUGUUUCUCAAGUGACUUCUUCUGGCCAUUUUCACAACUCAUUCCAAAGAUGUGCAGCAUAUUCUCAAAGCAUUUCCAAAUAAGCUCCAAGAAAUGUUUUUGGUAAUGGAAGCAGAAAACAAGCCUGUAGCUCAUGACUACUUUGGAGGAAGAACAUUUGGAUUUGUAAAUUUAGUGUGUUAAAAAAAUCACUUAUCACAGAUGUUUGGAAUCUUCCCACUGAUUUCUGCAUGGCUGCUUAUUUUUCUUCCCUUAAGUCUCAGUUCAUGUCACAGAGGGCUUCCCUGACCUCUCACACCUCACCACCAUCAACCUGUUUUCUCCAUAGCACCUAUCACAGUCUGAAUUGUCUUAUUAUGGCCUUACCUAUCCCUAACACCCAUUUAAAAAUGUAAGCAUGAAAGAAGGAACGUUGUCUAUCUUGUUCAUUGCUGAAUCCCCAGUGCCUAGAAUAGUACCAAUAAAUACUUGUUAAAUGAGCAAAUGUUUUAUUUAUUUAUUUAUUUUUGGAUUUGGGGUCUUGUUCUGUCACCCAGGUUGGAGUGCAGUGGAAUAUUAGCUCACUGCAGCCUUGGCCUCACUCCAGUGAUCCUCCUGCCUCAGCUGCUGGAGUAGCUGCGACCACAGGCUCACACCACCAAACCCGGCUGGCUUGGUUUUAUUUUUUGUAGAGAUGGGGUCUCAGUAUGUUGCGCAGACUACUCUUGAACUCCUGGGCUCACGUGAGCUUCCCUCCUUGGCCUCCCAAAGUGCAGGGAUUACAGGCAUGAGCCACCACACCCAACCUGAAACUUUUUUACAAAUCUCCAACUUUAUUACACCCACCCCCAAAAAAAUAAUGAAGCAGAAGACAUUGUUUAACAAGAAGCAGUUUAUUACACAAAACGAAACCUGAGAUAAUAGAAAAUAACACUUGCAGUAAUAAAGGAAGCAGCCUUGCACUCCACCUCCACACUCCAGAGUAUAAUUAAAAGACUCCUAUCAGACAUUUCUAUCACCAAUAAUGCCAACCUCUGCCUGAGGCUCCAGCAACAGUCAUUCAGAAACAACUGCCCACUUUAUACGUAAAAGUAUGAAAGGAAUGCCAAUGUGAGCCCAUGUCAUUAGGAGAGGUAAGGAUAAUCUACACCUUGCUUAACCAUCACUUAACCUUUUUAUUGCACAUAAUGAAAUUUAAGCCCUAACCUAGGUCUGUACUUGUGUAAUAAUUAUGCACUCUAAAUUAGCAUCUGCAUUUAGAUAGAUUGCAAGCUUAGAAAUCAGUCCUGCAUUUGACCUCUUUUGUCAGUGCCUACUAUAUCAAAUUUUAACAGAUUUUUUUUUUUUUUUUGAAAUGGAGUUUUGCUCUUGUUGUCCAGGCUGGAGUGCAAUGGCGUGAUCUUGGUUCACCACCACCUCCGCCUCCUGGGUUCAAGCGAUUCUUCUGCCUCAGCCUCCUGAGUAGCUGGGAUUAUAGUCAUGCGCCACCACGCCCAGCUAAUUUUGUAUUUUUAGUAGAGAUGAGGUUUCUCCAUGUUGGUCAGGCUGGUCUUGAACUCCCGACUUCAGGUGGUCUGCCUGCCUUGGCCUCCCAGAGUGCUGGGAUUACAGGCGUGAGCCAGCUCACCCAGCCCAACAGAUUUUUUUUUUUUUUUUAGACAGAGGUCUCACUGUGUUGCCCAGUUGGCACUCAUAGGCGCACUCACAGCAUACUACAGCCUCAAACUCUUGGGCUCAAGCGAUCUUCCUGCCUUAGCCUUCUGAGUAGCUGGGACUGCAGACCCAUGCCAUCACAUCUGGCUUAGAUAUAUUUUUGAAGGUUUUUUUUUUUUUUUUUUUUAGUUUCUGGAGUGCAGUGGCGAUCCUCCCACUUCAGCCUCCCAAGUAGCUGGAUCUACA
This 2550-nucleotide long non-coding RNA is filed under the name Homo sapiens (human). Its description in RNAcentral is "non-protein coding lnc-NDST2-3:4". Lineage: Eukaryota; Metazoa; Chordata; Mammalia; Primates; Hominidae. The record is from RNAcentral.